This 200-nucleotide ribosomal RNA is filed under the name uncultured bacterium. Its description in RNAcentral is "partial 16S ribosomal RNA". It matches the Rfam family "Bacterial small subunit ribosomal RNA", at positions 8 to 205 of the family's 1533-position model. The record is from RNAcentral.
AGAGUUUGAUCAUGGCUCAGAAUCAACGCUGGCGGCGUGCCUAACACAUGCAAGUCGAACGCGAAAGUCCUUCGGGGCUAGUAGAGUGGCGUCCGGGUGAGUAACACGUGGGUAAUCUACCUUCGGGUGGGGAAUAACUCGCCGAAAGGCGAGCUAAUACCGCAUAAUGCAGCGGCACCUAAUGGUGAAUAGUUGUUAAA